AUGCAGAUCUUUGUGAAGAUCCUCACUGGCAAGACCAUCACACUUGAGGUUGAGUCAUCUAACACGAUCGACAAUGUCAAGGAAAAGAUACAAGAUAAGGAGGGAAACCCACCAGAUCAGCAGCGGCUCAUCUUUGCUGGCAAGCAGCUCGAGGACGGGCGAACACUUGCUGAUUACAAUAUCGAGAAGGAAUCCACCCUCCACUUGGUGCUCAGGCUCAGGGGUGGCAUGCAAAUCUUUGUGAAGACCCUCACCGGCAAGACCAUCACCCUCGAGGUUGAGUCUUCCGAUACGAUUGACAAUGUCAAAGCGAAGAUCCAAGACAAGGAGGGCAUCCCCCCAGACCAGCAGCGGUUGAUAUUUGCCGGCAAGCAACUUGAGGAUGGACACACUUUUGCUGAUUACAACAUUCAGAAAGAGUCCACCCUCCACUUGGUUCUCCGUCUCCGUGGUUGCAUGCAGAUCUUUGUCAAGACCUUGACUAGCAAGACCAUCACCCUGGAGGUGGAAUCUUCAGACACCAUCGACAACGUGAAGGCGAAGAUCCAGGACAAGGAGGGCAUCCCCCCGGACCAGCAGCGCCUGAUCUUUGCUGGUAAGCAGCUCGAGGAUGGUCGCACUCUGGCGGAUUACAACAUUCAGAAGGAGUCUACUCUCCACCUGGUGCUUCGCCUUCGUGGUGGCCAGUGA
RNAcentral lists this ribosomal RNA (690 nucleotides) under Triticum aestivum (bread wheat). RNAcentral describes it as "partial small subunit ribosomal RNA". Lineage: Eukaryota; Viridiplantae; Streptophyta; Magnoliopsida; Poales; Poaceae. The record is from RNAcentral.